UCCAAAACUUCCCAUUUUCAUAUUGUACAACAUCGUCAAUAUGAUGAUUGCUGAAAGAGCUUAUAUUUACAUGAACCUCACUGCUCCAGCACAGCGCUAACCCUCCACCUAAGCCAUUUCUAUUUACAGCAAAACAAUUCUCAAAAUUCAUCCGAUUACAUACCUCCCUCGCUUGCACAGCCAUUAAUUUAGUUUCACAAAAAAACAAAAUAUGAGGCUUGUGUGUUUGGAGAAUUCGCUUCACCUCUAGGCGCGUCCGGGUAUUCCCCAAACCCCGGACGUUCCAACUUAGCAUUUUCAUGGCUGUCGGCGGGGCUGUGCACCAGCCGCCGCCGAUAUGUCUUCUUGCAUUGCUGUCUCAUCCUCCACGAUUGUGUUUUCAGGCUGCCCCUAGCACACCUUGAGUUUUGCUGCCGGGGAGUAUGUCGGAGUGUUGUUAGUUAACAGGUAAUUU
Molecule: long non-coding RNA, 454 nt
Filed under: Citrus maxima (pomelo)
Lineage: Eukaryota; Viridiplantae; Streptophyta; Magnoliopsida; Sapindales; Rutaceae
Description: long non-coding RNA (CMAX_LNC001338)
Source: RNAcentral